GACGAACGCUGGCGGCGUGCUUAACACAUGCAAGUCGAACGGAAAGGCCCUGCUUUUGUGGGGUGCUCGAGUGGCGAACGGGUGAGUAACACGUGAGUAACCUGCCCUUGACUUUGGGAUAACUUCAGGAAACUGGGGCUAAUACCGGAUAGGAGCUCCUGCUGCAUGGUGGGGGUUGGAAAGUUUCGGCGGUUGGGGAUGGACUCGCGGGUUAUCAGCUGGUUGGUGGGGUAGUGGCUUACCAAGGCUUUGACGGGUAGCCUGCCUGAGAGGGUGACCGGCCACAUUGGGACUGAGGUACGGACCAGACUGCUACGGGAGGCAACGGUGGGGAAUAUUGCACAAUGGGCGGAAGCCUGAUGCAGCAACGCCGCGUGCGGGAUGACGGCCUUCGGGUUGUAAACCGCUUUCGCCUGUGACGAAGCGUGAGUGACGGUAAUGGGUAAAGAAGCACCGGCUAACUACGUG
This 468-nucleotide ribosomal RNA is filed under the name uncultured bacterium. RNAcentral describes it as "partial 16S ribosomal RNA". It matches the Rfam family "Bacterial small subunit ribosomal RNA", at positions 28 to 507 of the family's 1533-position model. The record is from RNAcentral.